RNAcentral lists this ribosomal RNA (301 nucleotides) under uncultured bacterium. RNAcentral's name for it is "partial 16S ribosomal RNA". It matches the Rfam family "Bacterial small subunit ribosomal RNA", at positions 509 to 807 of the family's 1533-position model. The record is from RNAcentral.
CAGUAGCCGCGGGAAUACGUAGGUGGCAAGCGUUGUCCGGAAUUAUUGGGCGUAAAGCGCGCGCAGGUGGUUUAAUAAGUCUGAUGUGAAAGCCCACGGCUCAACCGUGGAGGGUCAUUGGAAACUGUUAAACUUGAGUGCAGGAGAGGAAAGUGGAAUUCCUAGUGUAGCGGUGAAAUGCGUAGAUAUUAGGAGGAAUACCAGUGGCGAAGGCGACUUUCUGGGCUGCAACUGACACUGAGGCACGAAAGCGUGGGGAGCAAACAGGAUUAGAUACCCGUGUAGUCCCUGUCUCUUAUAC